RNAcentral lists this ribosomal RNA (502 nucleotides) under uncultured bacterium. RNAcentral's name for it is "partial 16S ribosomal RNA". It matches the Rfam family "Bacterial small subunit ribosomal RNA", at positions 30 to 523 of the family's 1533-position model. The record is from RNAcentral.
AUUGAACGCUGGCGGCAGGCUUAACACAUGCAAGUCGAGCGGUAACAGGAGAAGCUUGCUUCUCGCUGACGAGCGGCGGACGGGUGAGUAAUACUUAGGAAUCUACCUAGUAGUGGGGGAUAGCUCGGGGAAACUCGAAUUAAUACCGCAUACGACCUACGGGAGAAAGGGGGCAGUUUACUGCUCUCGCUAUUAGAUGAGCCUAAGUCGGAUUAGCUAGUUGGUGGGGUAAAGGCCUACCAAGGCGACGAUCUGUAGCUGGUCGGAGAGGAUGAUCAGCCACGCCGGGACUGCGACACGGCCCGGACUCGUACGGGAAGCAGCAGUGGGGAAUAUUGGACAAUGGGGGCAACCCUGAUCCAGCCAUGCCGCGUGUGUGAAGAAGGCCUUUUGGUUGUAAAGCACUUUAAGCAGUGAAGAAGACUCUAUGGUUAAUACCCAUAGACGAUGACAUUGGCUGCAGAAUAAGCACCGGCUAACUCUGUGCCAGCCGCCGCGGUAA